RNAcentral lists this small RNA (1087 nucleotides) under Pan troglodytes (chimpanzee). RNAcentral describes it as "processed transcript". The record is from RNAcentral. Lineage: Eukaryota; Metazoa; Chordata; Mammalia; Primates; Hominidae.
CUGACCUUUCUGAGCAAUCAGUGUCUUCUUACAACAAUAAUACUACAGCAUUACUAACUACUUUUCAGCGCGUAUGGGCCUCAAAUCUGACCCUAUCGGAAACUCAAAAUGGAGAUGUAUCUGAAGAAACAAUGGGAAGUAGAAAGGUUAAAAAAUCAAAACAAAAGCCCAUGAAUGUGGGCUUAUCAGAAACUCAAAAUGGAGACGUGUCUCAAGAGGCAGUGGAAAAUGUAAAAGUUAAAAAGUCUCCCCAGAAAUCCAGUGUAUUAACCAAUGGAGAAGCAGCAAUGCAGUCUUCCAAUUCAGAAUCAAAAAAGAAAAAGAAGAAAAAGAGAAAAAUGGUGAAUGAUGCUGAGCCUGAUACGAAAAAAGCAAAAACUGAAAACAAAGGGAAAUCUGAAGAAGAAAGUGCCGAGACUCCUAAAGAAACAGAAAAUAAUGUGGAUAAGCCAGAUAAUGAUGAAGAUGAGAGUGAGGUGCCCAAUCUGCCCCUGGGACUGACAGGAGCUUUUGAGGAUACUUCGUUUGCUUCUCUAUGUAAUCUUGUCAAUGAAAACACUCUGAAGGCAAUAAAAGAAAUGGGUUUUACAAACAUGACUGAAAUUCAGCAUAAAAGUAUCAGACCACUUCUGGAAGGCAGGGAUCUUCUAGCAGCUGCAAAAACAGGCAGUGGUAAAACCCUGGCUUUUCUCAUCCCUGCAGUUGAACUCAUUGUUAAGUUAAGGUUCAUGCCCAGGAAUGGAACAGGAGUCCUUAUUCUCUCACCUACUAGAGAACUAGCCAUGCAAACUUUUGGUGUUCUUAAGGAGCUGAUGACUCACCACGUGCAUACCUAUGGCUUGAUAAUGGGUGGCAGUAACAGAUCUGCUGAAGCACAGAAACUUGCUAAUGGGAUCAACAUCAUUGUGGCCACACCAGGCCGUCUGCUGGACCAUAUGCAGAAUACCCCAGGAUUUAUGUAUAAAAACCUGCAGUGUCUGGUUAUUGAUGAAGCUGAUCGUAUCUUGGAUGUGGGGUUUGAAGAGGAAUUAAAGCAAAUUAUUAAACUUUUGCCAACACGUAGACAGACUAUGCUCUUUUCUGCCAC